GAUGAACGCUAGCUACCGGCUUAACGCAUGCAAGUCGAGGGGCAGCAUGUCGGUUGCUUGCAACCGAUGAUGGCGACCGGCGCACGGGUGAGUAACGCGUAUCCAACCUACCCUUGUCCAUCGGAUAACCCGUCGAAAGGCGGCCUAACACGAUAUGCGGUUCACCGCAGGCAUCUAAGGUGAACGAAAUGUGAAGGAGAAGGAUGGGGAUGCGUCUGAUUAGCUUGUUGGCGGGGUAACGGCCCACCAAGGCUACGAUCAGUAGGGGUCCUGAGAGGAAGGUCCCCCACAUUGGAACUGAGACACGGUCCAAACUCCUACGGGAGGCAGCAGUGAGGAAUAUUGGUCAAUGGAUGGGAGUCUGAACCAGCCAAGUAGCGUGCAGGACGACGGCCCUAUGGGUUGUAAACUGCUUUUAUAGGGGGAUCAAGUGUGCCACGUGUGGCAUAUUGCAGGUACCCUAUGAAUAAGGACCGGCUAAUUCCGUGCCAGCAGCCGCGGUAAUACGGAAGGUCCGGGCGUUAUCCGGAUUUAUUGGGUUUAAAGGGAGCGUAGGCCGUCUUAUAAGCGUGUUGUGAAAUGUCGUGGCUCAACCUGGGCAUUGCAGCGCGAACUGUGAGACUUGAGUGCGCAGGAAGUAGGCGGAAUUCGUCGUGUAGCGGUGAAAUGCUUAGAUAUGACGAAGAACUCCGAUUGCGAAGGCAGCCUGCUGUAGCGCAACUGACGCUGAAGCUCGAAAGCGUGNGUAUCGAACAGG
Molecule: ribosomal RNA, 757 nt
Filed under: uncultured bacterium
Lineage: Bacteria
Description: bacterial SSU rRNA
Rfam family: Bacterial small subunit ribosomal RNA
Source: RNAcentral